CCUUGCGGUCGUACUCCCAGGCGGAGUGCUUAAUGCGUUAGCUGCAGCACUAAGGGGCGGAAACCCCCUAACACUUAGCACUCAUCGUUUACGGCGUGGACUACCAGGGUAUCUAAUCCUGUUUGAUCCCCACGCUUUCGCACAUCAGCGUCAGUUACAGACCAGAAAGUCGCCUUCGCCACUGGUGUUCCUCCAUAUCUCUGCGCAUUUCACCGCUACACAUGGAAUUCCACUUUCCUCUUCUGCACUCAAGUUUUCCAGUUUCCAAUGACCCUCCACGGUUGAGCCGUGGGCUUUCACAUCAGACUUAAAAAACCGCCUACGCGCGCUUUACGCCCAAUAAUUCCGGAUAACGCUUGCCACCUACGUAUUACCGCGGCUGCUGGCACGUAGUUAGCCGUGGCUUUCUGAUCAGGUACCGUCAAGACGCGCACAGUUACUUACACGUUUGUUCUUCCCUGAUAACAGAGUUUUACGAUCCGAAGACCUUCAUCACUCACGCGGCGUUGCU
This 511-nucleotide ribosomal RNA is filed under the name Staphylococcus pasteuri. Its description in RNAcentral is "partial 16S ribosomal RNA". Lineage: Bacteria; Bacillati; Bacillota; Bacilli; Caryophanales; Staphylococcaceae. The record is from RNAcentral.